GUGAUUUCGGUGUGUCUGGCAGGUUGUUUCGGAGUGUUAGGCAGGUGGUUACGGCUUGUCUGGCAGGUGUCUGGCGUGUGGUUCUGGUACAUCCAGAACGUGGGUCUGGCGUGUCCUGUGGCUGCUUCCGGCAUGUCCAGCAGUUGGUUCUGGCGUGUGUGGCUGGUGGUUCUGGAGUGUCUGAGUGUUGGUUCCAGUGUGUCCGGGGGGUGGUUCUGGCAUGUCUGUUGGGUUGUUCCAUCGUAUAAGGGGCCUGGUUCUGACGUAUCUGUCAGGUGAUUUCUGCAUGUGUGGCAGGUGGUUCCGGCAAGUCAAGCCUGUGGUUCCAGCGUGUUUGGCAGGUGGUUCAGACCUGUCUGGAAGGUGAUUCCGGCAAGUCCAGCAUCUGGUUCUGGCAUAUCUGACAGGUGGUUCCGGCAUGCCUGGAAUGUGGUUCCAGAGUGUCUGUCAAGUGGUUUAGGCAUAUCCGGCAGGUGGUUCAGUCUUGUCCAGCAGGUGGUUCAGUUUUUCUGGUGGGUGGUUCUGGCAUGUCUGGUCAGUGGUACUGACGUGUCAUUGAGUUGGUUCCAGCAUGUCCGUAGGUGGUUAAGGCAUGUCCAGCACCUGGUUCAGGCAUAUCUGACUGGUGGUUCUGGCAUGCCCGGUAUGUGGUUUCAGAGUAUCCGUCAAGUGGUUCAGGGAUAUCUGGUAGGUGGUACAGUUUUGUCUGGCAGGUGGUUCUGGCAUGUCCAGCCAGUGGUACUCGCUUGUCAUUCAGGUGGUUCCAGCAUGUCAGGGAGGGGGUUACUGUGUGUCUGGCAUGAGUUUCUGGUAUGUCCAGAAUGUGGUUCCGAUGUGUCCAGUGGGUGCUUCCAGGGUGUCCGGCAGUUGGUUCCCACAUGUCCAGCAGGUGAUUCUGGCGUGUCCAGGACCUGAUUCUGUUGUGUUGGGUUGGUGGUUCCGGGAUGUCUGGCAGGUUUUUCUGGCCUGUCUGGAAGUUGGUUCUGGUGAGUCUGGGACCUGGUUCCGGAGUAUCCAACAGGUGAUUUAGGCCUGUCAGGCAGUUAGUUCUGGCAUGUCUGACAGGUGACUCUGUCUUGUCUGGCAGGUGGUUCUGGCAUGUCUGGCACCUGGUUCUGGCAUAUCUGACAGGUCCUUCCGGCAUGUCCGGGACAUGGUCCUGUCAUCUCCGGUGCAUGGUUCCAGAGUGUCUGGGUGGUUUUUCUGACGUUCUGGCAGUUGGUUCCAGUGUGCCAGGCAACCGGUUCAGGCAUUUCUAGUGGAUGGUACCGGUAUGUCUGGCAGCUAGUUCUGUCGUGUCCAACAGGUUGUUCAGGCGUGUCUGUCAGCUGGUCCACAUGCAUCCAGCACAUGUCCAGGCAUGGCCGUCCCAUGGUCCAGACAUUUCUGACCAUGGUUCUGAUGUGUCCAAAGUGUGGUUUGUGCAUGUCCAGCAUCUGAUUCAGGCCUCUCCGGGAGGUGUUUUGGGGGUGUCCAGAAGGUUGUCCAGGUAUGUCUAGUAAGUGUUUCUGGCGUGUCUGGCGUGUCCUUCAAGUAUGUCUGGCCUGUGGUUCUGGCAUGUCCAGAAGGUGGUUCCAGUGUGCCCAACACCUGGCUCUAGCGUGUUCAGCAGGUGCUUCCAGCAUGUCCAAUAAAUGGUUCUGGUGCGUCCUGAAGGUGGUGAUGGCAUGUCGGGAAGGGGGUUCAGGUUUGUUUGGCAGGUGGUUCAGUCAUUUCCAGCACUUGGUUCCAGCAUGUGCGAGAUCUGUUUGUGGAAUAUCCAGCAGGUGGCCCCAGUGUUUCCAGCAGGUGGUUCAUUAUGUCCAGCACCUGGUUUCAGUGUGUGUAACACCUGUUUCUGGCAUAGCCAGCUGGUUGUUCUGGUGAUUCUGGUAGGUGGUUCACGCAAGUCUGGCAGGUGGUUCAAGCAUGUUCAGCAGCUGUUCUAGCAUAUUGGUCACCUGGUUCUGCUGCUCCAGGCAUGUGGUUCCGGAAUGUCCAUAAAUUGGUUCAGGCUGGUCCAGCAGGUGGUUCAGGCUAGUCCGAAAGAGGCUCCAUGCUUGCCUGGCACCUGGUUCCAGCCUGUGCUGUUCCUGUUUCUGGAGUAUCCAGCAGAUGCUUCCGGCCUGUCCAGGAGGUGCUUCCGACGUGUUCGGCAGAUGGUUUCAGUGUAUCCAACAGGUGAUUUGGAUGUGUCCAGCAGGUGUUUCCGGAGUGUCUGGGACUUGGGUCUGGCAUAUUCGGCAGGUGGUUUCAGUGUAUCCAGCAGGUGGUUCUGGCAUAUCCAACAUGUGGUUCCAGUGUGUCUGGCAGAUGGUUCAUGCGUGUCUGGCAUGUGAUUCUGGUACGUUCAGAAGGUGGUUCUGGCCUGUCCAUUUGGUGCUUUCGGUGUGUCUUAGUGGUGGUUCUAGAGUGUCCAGUGGAUGGUUUCAGCAUGUCUGGUGGGUUGUUCUGGCGUAUAAGUGGCCUGGUUCCAGCAAGUCUAGCUGGUGGUUCUGGGAUGUCCUGCAGGUGGUUCAGUCUUGUCUGGCAGGUGGUUCAGUUUUGUCUGGCAGGUGGUUCCAGCAUGUCUGGCCAGUGGUACCAGCGUGUCAUUCAGGUGGUUCCAGCAUGUCAGGCAGGGAUUUCCUGUGUGUCUGGCAUGAGUUUCUGGUAUGUCCGGAAGGUGGUUCCCACGUGUCCAGUGGGUGCUUCUGGCAUGUCCGGCAGUUGGUUCUGCAUGUCCAGUGGGUGAUUCGGCAUGUCUGGGACCUGAUUCCAUCAUCUUGAGUUGGUGGUUUCGGCAUUUCCAGGUGGUGGUUCCAGCAUGUCCUGCAGGUAUUUCCGGCCUGUCCAGAAGAUAGUUCUGGCAUAUUCUGGACCUGCUUACCGCAUGUCCAGCGGGUGGUUCACGCAAGUCUGGCAGGUUGUUCAGGUGUGUCCAUCUGGUGGUUCUGGCUCGUCUGGCACCUGGGUCCAGCAUAUCUAACUGGUAGUGCUUGCAUGUCCAGCGAGUGAUUCUGGCAUGUCCAGCAGCUGGCUGCAGCAUGUGCAGGACCUGAUUCCGCCAUGUCAGGUUGGUGGUUUCGGCAUGUCUGGGUGGUGGUUCUGGCAUGUCUGGCAGGUUUUUCUGGGCUGUCUGGAAGUUGUUUCUGGUGUAUCCAGGCACCUGAUUCUGGCGUAUCUGGCAGGUGAUUUUGGUGUGUCAGGCAGGUUGUUCUGGUGUGUCUGGCAGGUGGUUCCGGCUUUUCUGGCAGGUCAUUCUGGCAUCUCUGGCACCUGGUUCUGCGUAUCCAGCAGGUGGUUUCAUGGUAUCUGGCACCUUGUUCCCCCGUAUCCAACAUGUGCUUCCGGCACGUCUGGCAGGUGAUUCCGGGGUGUCAGGCAGGUGGUUCUGGUGUGUCUGGCCGGUGGUUCAGCCAUGUUUGGCAGGUGGAUCAGUGCAGUCCAGCUGACACAUCAGUUAUCUCUGGCGGUUGGUUGCAGAAUAUCCGGGGGUGUUUCUGGCCUGUACAGAAGGUGGUCCCAUCAUGUUGGGCAGGUGAUUCUUGCGUGUCCGUCACAUGGAUCUGGCCUGUCCGGAAGGUGGUUCUUUUGUGUCCAUAAAGUCAUUCAGGCUGGUCCAUAAGGUGAUUCUGGUUUCUCUGGUAGGUGGUUCUGGUGUGUCUGGCACCUGGUUCUGGUGUAUCUGCCAGGUGGUUCCAUGGUGUAUGACACCUGUUUCAGUCGUAUCUGACAGGUGGAUCUGGCGUUUCUGGCAUGUGGAUCCGGGGUGUCAGGCAGGAGGUUCCAGUGUGUCCAGCUGGUGGUUCAGCCAUGUUUGGCGGGUGGAUCAGUGCAGUCCAGCAGGUGGAUCAGUCGUGUCUGGUGGUUGGUUGCAGCAUAUCUAGGGUGGUUCCAGCGUGUACAGAAGGUGGUUCCAUAGUGUCUGGCUGGUGGUUCUGGCAUGUCAGUCAAGUGGUUCUGGGGUGUCCGGAAGGUGGUUCCAUCGUGUCUGGCGGGUGAUUCUGCUAGCUCACACAGGUGGUUCCAGUGUGUCCAGCAGGUGCUUCCAGCGUUUCUAGGACCUGAUUCUGGCUUCUCCAGCAGCUGGUUCCAGAGUGUCUGGGUGGUAGUUCCAACAUGUCUGGCAGUUGGUUCCAGCAUGUCAGGCAAGUGGUUCAGGCGUUUCUGGUGGAUGGUUCUGGUGUGUCCAGUGGGUAGUUCCGGCGUGUCCGGCAUGUUGUUCAGGCAUGUCUGUCAGUUGGUCCAACUGCAUCCGGCAUAUGGUCCAGGCAUGGCACUUCUUUGGUCCAGAUAUUUCUGAAGCAUGAUUCUGACAUGUCUGAAAGGUGAUUUGGGUGUGUCUGGCAGCUGAUUCAGGCCUCUCUGGGCAGGGUUUGGGGGUGUCCGGCAGGUGGUACAGGUUGGUCUGGCAAGUGGUUCCAGUGUGUCCGGUGUGUCCUUCCAGUAUGUCUGGCCUGUGGUUCCAGCAUGUCCAGCAGGCAAUUCUGGUGUGUCCAGCACCUGGCUCUGGCAUGUUCAGCAGGUGAUUCUGGCAUGUCCAACAGAUGGCUCUGGUGAAUCCUGAAUGUGGUCACAGUGUGUCCAGCCAGUGGUUCAGUCGUGCCCAGCAGGUGGUUCAGGUUGGUCAGGCAGGUGGUUCAGUUGUGUUCAGCACCUGGUUCCAGCAUGUCCGAUACUGUUUUUGGUGUAUCAGGCAGGUGGUUCCAUCAUGUCCAGUAGAUGGUUCAUGCAAGUCUGGCAGGUGGCUCAGGCAUGUCCAGCAGGUGGUUCUGGCGUGUUGGGCACCUGGUUCCAGUGUGCCUGGCAUGUGGUUCCGGAAUGUCUGUAAAGUGGUUCAGGCUGGUCCAGCAGGUGGUUCAAGCUAGUCCGGCAGCUGCUUCAGGCUUGACUGGCACCUGGUUCCAGCCUGUGCUGGACGCAUUUCUGGUGUAUCUGGCAGAUGCUUCUGGCAUGUCCGGGAAUGGUUCCGGCAUGUCCAAGACAUGGUUUUGGCAUAUCUGACAGGUGAUUUGAAUGUGUCUGGCAGGUGUUUCCCCCGUGUCUGACACAUGGUUCUGGCACAUUCGGCAGGUUUGUUCAGUGUAUCUGGCAGCUGGUUCCAGCAUAUCCAACAAGUGGUUCCAGCAUGUCUGGUAGGUGGUUCCUGUGUGUCUGGCAUGUGGUUCUGGUACAUUUGGAAGGUGGUUCUAGUGUGUUUGGUGGGUGCUUCCAGUGUGUCCAGCAUUUGGUUCUGGCGUGUCUGAGUGGUGCUUCCAGAGCGUCCGGUGGCUGGUACUGGCAUGUCUGGUGGGUUGUUUAGGCAGAUAAGUGGCCUGGUUCCAGCAUAUCUGGCAGGUGAUGUCGGCGUAUCUGGCAGGUGGUUCAGCUUUGUCUGUCAGGUGGUUCCGGGAUGUCUUGCCAGUGGAACCACGUGUCAUUCAGGUAGUUCCAGUGUGUCUGGCAUGAGUCUCUGGUAUGUCUGCAAGGUGGCUCUGACGUGUCUGUUGGGUGCUUCCAGGGUGUCAGGCAGUUGGUUCCCACAUGUCCAGCGGGUCAUUAUGGUGUGUCCAGCAGUGGCUACGGUUUGUCCGGGAUCUGAUUCGGUCAUGUCAGGUUGGUCGUUUUGGCGUGUCCAGGUGGUGGUUCUGGCAUGUCUGGAAGGUUUUUCCAACCUGUCUGGAAAUUGGUUCUGGCAUAUCUGGGACCUGGUUCUGGCGUAUCUGGCAGGUGAUUUCAGCAUGUCCAGCAUGUGGUUCCAGCCUGUCUGGCAGGUGUUUCUGGCGUCUCCUGAAGGUGGUUCUAGUGUGUCCGAGACCUGGUUCUGGCAUAUCCAGCAGGUGAUUUCACUGUGUCCGGCAACUGGUUCUGCUGUAUACGACAGGUGCUUUAGCUUGUCUGGCAGGUGGUUUUGGAAUGUCAGGCAGGGGGUUCCUGUGUUUCUUGCAUGAGUUUCUGGUAUGUCCAUAAGGUUGUUCUGGCGUGUCAUCUGGGUGCUUCUGGCAUGUCUGGCAGUUGGUUCUCACAUUUCCAGCGGGUGAGUCUGGCAUGUCUGGCAGGUGGCUAUGGCAUGUCCGGGACCUGAUUCCAUUGUGUCAGGUUGGUGGUUUCAGCCUGUACGGGAGGGUGUUCUGGUGUGUCUGGCAUGUUUUUCCAGCCUGCCCAGAAGUUGGUUCUGGCAUAUCCAGGACCUGAUUCUGGUGUAUCUGGCAGGUCAUUUUGGUGUGUCCGGCAUGUUGUUCCAGUGUGCCUGGCAGCUGAUUCUGGCUUUUCUGGCAGGUGGUUCUGGGGUGUCCAGCACCUGGUUCUGUGUAUCCUGCAGGUGCUUUCACGGUAUCUGGCACCUGGUUCUCCUGUAUCUGACAGCUGGUUUGGGCAUGUCUGGCAGGUGAUUCCAGCGUGUCAGGCAGUUGGUUCUGGUGUGUCUGGCUGGUGGUUCAGCCAUGUUUGGCAGGUGGAUCAGUGCAGUCCAGCAGGUGGAACAGUCUUCUACGGUGGUUGGUUGCAGGAUAUCCAGGGGUCGUUCCAGCCUGUCCAGAUGCUGUUUCUGUCAUGUCCAACUGGUGAUUCCCUCGUGUCUGUCACAUGGCUCCUGCAUGUCUGGAAGGUGGUUCUGUCAUGUCCAUAAAGUGGUUCAGGCUGGCCCAGAAGCUGGUCAGUUCUGACUUCUGUUGCAGGUGGUUCUGGCAUGUCUGACACCUGGUUUUGGCAUAUCUGCUGGGUGGUUUCACGGUGUCUGGCACCUGGUUCAACCGUAUCCGACAGCUGGUUCUGGCAUUUCUGCAGGUGGAUCUGGGGUGUCAGGCAGGUGGUUCUGGCAUGUCUGGGCAGUGGUUCAGCCGAGUUUGGAGAGUGGACCAGUGCUAUCCUGCUGGUGGAUCAGUCAUGUCUGGUGGUUGGUUGCAGCAUAUCUGGGGUGGUUCCAUUUUGUCUGGCAGGUGGUUCCAGCAUGUCAGUCAGGUGGUUCCAGUGUGUGCAGCAGGUGGUUCACGCAAGUCUGGCAGGUGGUUCAGGCCUGUCUGGAGGUGG
RNAcentral lists this long non-coding RNA (6969 nucleotides) under Equus caballus (horse). RNAcentral's name for it is "lncRNA (ENSECAG00000033132.3)". The record is from RNAcentral. Lineage: Eukaryota; Metazoa; Chordata; Mammalia; Perissodactyla; Equidae.